GAUGAACGCUGGCGGCGUGCCUAAUACAUGCAAGUCGAGCGAACAGACGAGGAGCUUGCUCCUUUGACGUUAGCGGCGGACGGGUGAGUAACACGUGUGUAACCUACCUAUAAGACUGGGAUAACUUCGGGAAACCGGCGCUAAUACCGGAUAAUAUUUCGAACCGCAUGGUUCGAUGGUGAAAGAUGGCUUUGCUAUCACGUAUAGAUGCUCCUGAGCGGUAUUAGCUAGUUGGUAAGGUAACGGCUUACCAAGGGAAGGAUACGUAAGCGACGUGAAAGGGUGGUCGGCGACCUUGGAGCUGGGCCAGGGACCAGACGACUACGGGAGGCCCCAGUAGGGAAUCUUCCGCAAUGGGCGAAGACCUGACGGAACAACGCCGCGUGAGUUAUGAAGGUCUUCGGAUCGUAAAGCUCUGUUAUUAGGUGAGAACAAACGUGGAAGUUACCGUGCACGUCUUGACGGUACCUAAUCAGAAAGCCCCGGCUAACUACGUG
RNAcentral lists this ribosomal RNA (497 nucleotides) under uncultured bacterium. Its description in RNAcentral is "partial 16S ribosomal RNA". It matches the Rfam family "Bacterial small subunit ribosomal RNA", at positions 28 to 507 of the family's 1533-position model. The record is from RNAcentral.